UUCUGCUUGAAAAUUUUUACAUAAAAUUAAAGUCUGUCAUAAUACUUUAUCUUCUGUUUGUGGUUAGAGUAGGUGUCUUUACUUUCUUUAUGAUCUCUUUGUUCAGGUAAGAAGGGCUAUACUGGAGUGAAAUCAUAACUUUAGUUACAUCGUAACAUUAGAAACGGGCACACUCUUGUAAACAACUGCAACAAAUGGAGAUUAUGCUUAACAGAAAAUAUAUAAAAAUAUUACAUGUACCACGUGUGUUCAUGUUAAUAAGCAAAUUGUUGAAAGUUAAUAUCUCUAUAUUCAAGAUAUAGCUAUUAAAUAUGUAAUACAUAACAUUAAUACACAUUACACAUGUAGUAUUUUAUUUAUUAUUUCUAAACUGUCACUUGUUUUAUUACUCAUAUUUUUGAUGCAGUAAAAAACAAACUAGGAAUUAAUCCUUUAAAGAAGUAUAAAAAUAAAUCGCGAUCAAGGAACUCGCUGGAGUAUAAAUUGGCAUAAGUAGAUACUAAAGUCUGGUAUUUUUAUACUACCCAGAAAGCUAUUAUAAUAAUUCAAGUGAAGGGUGAAUGACCACAAUGUUGAUUAAAAAAAUAGAUCUGUAGAAGAUUACUGAUAAAGUACACAUGUGAAAUCAACUGGUCCAGUGGCCUCUGCAAUUAUAUGGAAAGCUUUAUUCAUACUAUACACAUCUAUGUCUUUCUCCUGCUACUGAACAUUUUUGAUCUAGGUCAACAGUUCAUGUUAUAGAGACAGUGACUCAGAGAAAGUACGUAAGUUUUUGCAAAUCACAGUGUUGCUUAUGGCCAGGUGCAGUGGCUCAUGCCUGUAAUUCCAGCACUUUGGGUGGCUGAGGUGGGCAUAUUGCUUGAGACCAGGAGUUCAAGACCAACCUGGACAACAUGAUGAAAGCCCAUCUCUACAAAAAAUUAGCCAGGCAUUUUGGCUCAUGCCUGUAGUCCCAGCUACCUGGGAGACAAAAGUGGGAGGGUCAAUUGAGCCCCGGAAGUUGAGGCUGCAGUAAGGGAUUAUAGCAACACUGCACUCCAGCCUAAGUGACAGAGUGAGACCCUACCUUAAAAAAUAAAUAAAUAAAAAUAAAAAAUUUGUGAGACUCUACCUUAAAAAAAAUUUGUUGCCUAUGAACAUACUGCGAGCAGCAUAAAGACACUUGCAUUGAACCAUCCUGAACACACCAGGAUUCCUUUCUUUGGAGAGGGAGAGUGUUUUCUCUUAAAGUCAUAGAAUUGGGAAGCCCUUUGAAUCUUCCUGUAUUAUUUCUAAAUCAAAGUUAAAUACUAUCACCUCCUUCAAUUUUAAAUGCACCUGCAUGCCACCCAAAUUUGUACAUUCACACCACUAAAUAACUGAAGGUUUUGAACUCUGCUUAUGUGUAGGAAAACAUAGUUAUCCCCAGUAGCAUCCCUUCUACUCUUUGAGAAAGUUGGGCUGAACAUUUAUUUAUUUAUUUAUUUAUUAUUUUUAAUUGAUCUGAAUCGGUUUAUUCCUUCCCUCUGGCUCUGUGAAAGAAGUAUAUUUGUUUGUACAGUUUUUGUUAGGGUCCUUUUCCAUAUUUCCAUGAAAAUCUAGAUGGUCUUUAUUAUCUACAUUUAGAAAAUCUC
RNAcentral lists this long non-coding RNA (1613 nucleotides) under Homo sapiens (human). RNAcentral describes it as "non-protein coding lnc-BMP2-6:2". The record is from RNAcentral. Lineage: Eukaryota; Metazoa; Chordata; Mammalia; Primates; Hominidae.